CCGACGGUGAGGGACGAAAGCUGGGGGAGCAAACCGGAUUAGAUACCCGGGUAGUCCCAGCCGUAAACGAUGUGCGUUAGGUGUAUCGGUGACCACGAGUCACCGAGGUGCCGAAGAGAAAUCGUGGAACGUACCGCCUGGGAAGUACGGUCGCAAGGCUGAAACUUAAAGGAAUUGGCGGGGGAGCACCACAACAGGUGGAGCCUGCGGUUUAAUCGGACUCAACGCCGGGAAACUCACCAGAUAAGACAGCUGAAUGAUAGUCGGGCUGAAGACUCUACUUGACUAGCUGAGAGGAGGUGCAUGGCCGUCGUCAGUUCGUACUGUGAAGCAUCCUGUUAAGUCAGGCAACGAGCGAGACCCACGCCAACAGUUGCU
Molecule: ribosomal RNA, 378 nt
Filed under: uncultured archaeon
Lineage: Archaea
Description: bacterial SSU rRNA
Rfam family: Archaeal small subunit ribosomal RNA
Source: RNAcentral